GCGUGGGUUUAUUCUGCCCUCCAGAGGCGGUUAGCGGAAUUGCAUUUAAUUUCCACGUGACCUAAACAGCUUGACCAGUCAUUUACUUGUCGUAGUUUCCCAUUGGACAACAUAAACAUCGUCUCAUUUGCAUGCAUUACAUUUGUUUGGGUCAUUCAUUGGUCUUGGUGAUUUGAUUUUUACAUAUCAGAAAGAUGUCAUGUUUAACCUUCAGGAACUUGUAUUGGUAGAUUUGAAGCACACCAAAUAGCUUCAGGUCCCUUCCAAAUUGGCCAUCGUUCCGUUUCACGUGGCAAUCUCGGCAUCCGCAGCUCGGCCCAGCUCGGCGUUGACAACACGUGUGAGGGUUUCCAAUCCUCAAUAUUGAACAGGAUCAUCACUCGGGAUAAUCUUUCAGAGGCCAUCUUUGUCUUUGAACGAAAGAGCAGGUGGCAACAGGGGCAAGUGGACCAGUACGCAAAGUGUUUGAUAUGAGAGAGAAGACGGCUACUCGGUCAACUACUCUACAGAAGAAAACUACUUGCACGUCCUUCCAACCCAGUGUUCGUAAUACGAGGUAGCAAUGGAGUUUUCUGAAUGAGAAUCUGGAGCUCCAUAGCAAGCACCCUUCAGAGCCACAAAAGGAAAAGCGGGUGAUAAGUUGCACACAUCAGACAAUUUGUGUUAAAGGACAAUAGACAAGAGACUGUAUAUUUUAUUUACAGUGGACGUCAACCACAAGCUGUUCAGUAAUGCUGCCGUUGUUCUCGGGCUACAUUAACAAUAUGUUCCCGGCAGCCCAGUUUCAGGCCGCCAUUGACAAAACAUGAUGGUCGUGAGGCAACACGGCAGGAUGCAAUGGGAAAACGUGGCAGUCCGUGAUUGCUGUGGAUGCCUGGCGAGGAAAAAAACUCAAAAAUAAUUCAACGGCUGUCACAGUGCGGAUGAGUAACGCCAUAUGUAAUAUGGCGUAACGCAACUUUAAGCAGUCCAUAGUGGCAUGAGAAGUGUAUUUAUUUCCUGCAACUCUUCUAAAGGUAAGCCAUGUGUUUAAUUUACAUACAGUGUCCGCCUUGGCCUACCUGUUUAUCAGCAAUGUGCCGAGAAAGGCCUUCAGGCACACUUCGCUGCUGGCCUAAACACAAUCAAAAGCCCUGA
Molecule: long non-coding RNA, 1137 nt
Organism: Phyllopteryx taeniolatus (common seadragon)
Lineage: Eukaryota; Metazoa; Chordata; Actinopteri; Syngnathiformes; Syngnathidae
Exons: 5
Source: RefSeq, a predicted model, not a curated record